This is a long non-coding RNA of Lethenteron reissneri (Far Eastern brook lamprey), 383 nucleotides long. RefSeq lists it as uncharacterized. The record is from RefSeq and is a predicted model, not a curated record. NCBI's taxonomy places the organism in Eukaryota, Metazoa, Chordata, Hyperoartia, Petromyzontiformes, Petromyzontidae.
CGUAUGGCAGCGUGCAUGACGCCUGCCCAGACAAAGGUUUUACCACCUCCUCCUCCUCACCACCUUCCAUUCAAGCCAUCAACUCUCCUUACUACAGGAGUUCCCAGCACAUGGCCCGAAACGUCGGACAUCAUUCCGAACAAGGCACGGUACAGCCCUAAUACCCAUCAGAGGGCUAAGCCCCAAAUUCUGCAUUGGAUGAAAUCGGAUCCCAUCUCUCAAAGCACAUGUCAAAGUCAAAGUAUUUAUUGCUCAAAUGAGCAUUGGAGUGAUGCUCAUCCCUCGUUUACAGCAAUGGAAAUAUUCAGUACGACAUCGCAGCACGUUCUGUAUCCCCUGCAGCACACGCUGUUUAGGGGCCAUCCAUUUAGUACGUACGCAUG